This 248-nucleotide long non-coding RNA is filed under the name Manduca sexta (tobacco hornworm). RNAcentral describes it as "uncharacterized LOC119190956, transcript variant X2". The record is from RNAcentral. Lineage: Eukaryota; Metazoa; Arthropoda; Insecta; Lepidoptera; Sphingidae.
UGCCAAAUUGGGAUUCAGUGUGUAUCUAUUUCAUAAUUCAAAAUUCUGUAUGGUUUAUGGAAUAAAACAGCGUUUAUCAAGCGCUAAACUAGUCAAUAUGACUAAGGUGCCGCGAAAGGUCGCGAAAUCAUUGAAAGGCUGGCAACACCAAAGAGCAGUCUCUCUGACGUGAUACGAUAAGGAAUUUGCCGCCAUCUAGGAAUGUUGUCUUGGAAGACCACAGUCCGUAUAACACAGAACAUUACAAG